RNAcentral lists this unclassified non-coding RNA (394 nucleotides) under fungal sp. RNAcentral describes it as "partial internal transcribed spacer region". The stretch from base 1 to 46 matches the Rfam family "Eukaryotic small subunit ribosomal RNA", at positions 1786 to 1831 of the family's 1831-position model. The record is from RNAcentral. Lineage: Eukaryota; Fungi.
AAGUCGUAACAAGGUUUCCGUAGGUGAACCUGCGGAAGGAUCAUUAACACGUAUCCACGUACCCACCCCCGGUCACUUGGUUUUUACCGCCCUACGCUUUACAUGAAUAGGAACCGAUAGGAUUGAUUGGAUGGGGCCGGUAAAACGGUCGCUCCUAUCGCUAUUUACGCAACCGAAAGGAAGCGUUAACGAUUGUAGUAAAGAAGUAGGCAAAAUUCUAUUACGAACUUCUCCAUUCAAGAUGGGCGUAAUAGAGCAUUAAUCACCCUUAUCACCCCCUUUUUGCUAGUUGACUUUAUUAUGUUGUUUUCAUUGUAAUUAAUUUUAUGAUGGACUCACACGUUUAUUUAUUUAAACAAUUAAACAACUCUUAGCAAUGGAUAUCUUGGCUCUC